RNAcentral lists this long non-coding RNA (216 nucleotides) under Vigna radiata. RNAcentral describes it as "long non-coding RNA (VRAD_LNC002852)". Lineage: Eukaryota; Viridiplantae; Streptophyta; Magnoliopsida; Fabales; Fabaceae. The record is from RNAcentral.
UUAAUUUUAUUUUAUUUUAUUCCAACCCUUUUUACUUUUUAUACCCGUUAUUUAAUUUCUAGACCAAUUAAUAAUGUCAACAGAAUAAAUGAUAAAGAUAUGCAAUAAAUGACAAAUAUAUGCAAUUAUAUAUUUAUUUGUAACUGUUAUUCUCUUAAUUAGGAUAAUUAGCUGUAGUAAAUGUAUAUGACAAUUUAGCUUAUUUUGUGGGUUGAA